CGGGAAACCGGAGCUAAUACGGAUAAUAUAUUGAACCGCAUGGUUCAAUGUGAAAGACGGUUUUGCUGUCACUUAUAGAUGGAUCCGCGCCGCAUUAGCUAGUUGGUAAGGUAACGGCUUACCAAGGCAACGAUGCGUAGCCGACCUGAGAGGGUGAUCGGCCACACUGGAACUGAGACACGGUCCAGACUCCUACGGGAGGCAGCAGGG
RNAcentral lists this ribosomal RNA (210 nucleotides) under uncultured Staphylococcus sp. RNAcentral describes it as "partial 16S ribosomal RNA". It matches the Rfam family "Bacterial small subunit ribosomal RNA", at positions 150 to 354 of the family's 1533-position model. Lineage: Bacteria; Bacillati; Bacillota; Bacilli; Caryophanales; Staphylococcaceae. The record is from RNAcentral.